RNAcentral lists this ribosomal RNA (440 nucleotides) under uncultured bacterium. RNAcentral describes it as "bacterial SSU rRNA". It matches the Rfam family "Bacterial small subunit ribosomal RNA", at positions 338 to 770 of the family's 1533-position model. The record is from RNAcentral.
CCUACGGGUGGCAGCAGGUGGGAAUAUUGGUCAAUGGGCGCAAGCCUGAACCAGCGAUGCCGCGUGUGCGAAGAAGGCCCUAGGGUUGUAAAGCACUUUCAGUCGUAAAGAAAACCUGAUGAUUAAUAAUCAUCGGUCUUGACGUUAGCGACAGAAGAAGAUCCGGCUAACUCCGUGCCAGCAGCCGCGGUAAUACGGAGGGAUCGAACGUUAAUCGGAAUUACUGGGCGUAAAGCGCGCGUAGGCGGUUCAAUAAGUGGAGUGUGAAAUCCCUGGGCUCAACCUGGGAACUGCAUUCCAAACUGUCGGACUAGAGUAUGGUAGAGGGAGGUAGAAUUUCUUGUGUAGCGGUGAAAUGCGUAGAUAUAAGAAGGAAUACCGAUGGCGAAGGCAGCCUCCUGGACCAAUACUGACGCUGAGGUGCGAAAGCGUGGGGAGCA